RNAcentral lists this ribosomal RNA (121 nucleotides) under Staphylococcus aureus. Its description in RNAcentral is "partial 16S ribosomal RNA". It matches the Rfam family "Bacterial small subunit ribosomal RNA", at positions 1414 to 1533 of the family's 1533-position model. The record is from RNAcentral. Lineage: Bacteria; Bacillati; Bacillota; Bacilli; Caryophanales; Staphylococcaceae.
GUAACACCCGAAGCCGGUGGAGUAACCUUUUAGGAGCUAGCCGUCGAAGGUGGGACAAAUGAUUGGGGUGAAGUCGUAACAAGGUAGCCGUAUCGGAAGGUGCGGCUGGAUCACCUCCUUU